This is a non-coding RNA of Terrapene triunguis (Three-toed box turtle), 305 nucleotides long. Lineage: Eukaryota; Metazoa; Chordata; Testudines; Emydidae. The record is from the annotation of a RefSeq genome assembly.
GGGCCCGCUCGCAGGUGGUUCUGACCCAGUCGGGGUCAGCGCUGAAGAAGCCCGGAGAGUCCCAUAAACUGCAAUGUGCCACCAGCGGGUUCACUCUGAGCAGCUACUGGAUGGGCUGGAUCAGACAGGAGCCAGGAAAAGGGCUGGAGUGGUUGGCUUACUAUUACGGUGAGUCGAACACCAAGUCCUACGCCUCCUCCGUCCAGGGCCGAUUCACAGCCUCCAAGGACAGCGCCAACUUCUACCUGCAAAUGACCAGCCUGAAAGCGGAGGACACCGCCGUGUAUUACUGUGCCAGAGACACA